This 253-nucleotide ribosomal RNA is filed under the name uncultured bacterium. RNAcentral's name for it is "partial 16S ribosomal RNA". It matches the Rfam family "Bacterial small subunit ribosomal RNA", at positions 524 to 776 of the family's 1533-position model. The record is from RNAcentral.
AACGUAGGACACAAGCGUUAUCCGGAGUUACUGGGCGUAAAGGGCGUGUAGGCGGAGAUGUAAGUCUACUCUGAAAGCUCCUGGCUAAACUGGGAGAGGCGAGUGGAGACUGUCGGUCUAGAGUGAGGAAGAGGAAAGUGGAAUUCCGCGUGUAGUGGUGAAAUGCGUAGAGAUGCGGAGGAACACCAGUGGCGAAAGCGGCUUUCUGGUCCUUAACUGACGCUGAGGCGCGAAAGCAUGGGGAGCGAACGGG